Long non-coding RNA from Carassius auratus (goldfish), 1882 nucleotides. The record is from Ensembl. Lineage: Eukaryota; Metazoa; Chordata; Actinopteri; Cypriniformes; Cyprinidae.
AUGUUGCAGAUACCAGUGAAGACUCUCAACAGAACCAGUGUAGUUACAAGAGAGUUUCACACUCUCAGUCUCAGUGGCAAAUGCUGCAUCACUGUAUGGGGUGAUGACAUCUUUAGCUCUGUUUACUACAACAAAACAAACCAACAAAAAAAUAUAUAUAAGGAUUGUUGGGCAUAUUUAAAAUGAGAAUGGUGUAAUGUAAUGAGUGAUACAGUAUGUAAGAUUUUACCUUGAGUUAAAGACAGCAGUAUAAGCACACAUGUGAACAUGAUGAACAGGCUGCUGCUCGCCUCAGUCAUCUGUGAUGCCAUUCACUGAAUGACUCUGUGUCCUACAGGCCUAUGUUAUGCUCCGCCUCUUAAAAUUAUUCAUCACAAAACCAGAAACCAGUGGAAUGAUUUUUUUCAUGUUUGGUUUAGUUUGAUUGAUCAAUGCUCUAUACUUCAAGCUAAAACAAUACUGUAAGAUACAUUGUUUAACCUAUUAGUUACAAUAACAUUUUUUCUCUUGAAAGAGCUAAAUUCACCAGCUAGGAAUCAAUCAGACUACUUUUGAAAUCAUAAACUUGUUUUUCAAGAUAGCAACCAAUAAAAACCUGGUCGGCUGAGAAAAAAAACAGUAGUUGAUGACAGACAAAUUAUAAAAAACUGUGAAAAUGAACCCUAAAUGUCUGUAAAAUCACCAACAACCUCCAGAAAGCUGGGGUGAUGCUCUGUCAAUCUACAGUCCAAAGGAUAAUUUGACAAAGAAUUACAGAAGCUACACAACAAGAUGCAAACCUCUGUUCAGCACCAAAAAUAGAAAGUCAAGAUUCUUUACAAAUGUGAGCCAGAGUUUUGGAACUGAGUUGAUGGACUGAUGAGACAAAGAUUAACCUUUAUCUACAGUAAGUGAUUGGAAAGCAAAACUGUGGAGAAAAAAGGGAACUGCAAAUGAUCCUAAGCAUACAAGCUCAUCUGUAAAGCUUGGUGGAGCUGGUGUCAUGGCAUGGGCAUGCAUGGCUGUCUCUAGAACAGGACUUCUUCAUUUUAAUGAUGACUUAAUUGUAUGAUGGCAGUAGCAGAAUUAAUUUGGAAGGGUACAAAAUCAGCUUUGCUACCCACAUUCAAGAAAAUACCACCAAACUCAUUAGAAAGCACUUCAUAUUGGAUCAGGACAAUGACCCAAAACACCCUGCCAGUUCAGUCAAGGACUUUAUCAGGGCAAGGAAAUGUAAAGUCUUAGUUUGCCCAAAUCAAUCUCCAGAUCUAAAUCCUCCAGCCUGCCAUUCCACUAGCUGAAGAGGAAACUAAAGACAGAAACUCCCCAAAACAAGCAACAGUUGUAACUGGAUGCAUUAAAGGCUGCGGAAAAGCAUUUCACAGCAUAAGAGCAAGAGUCUGGUGAUGUCUAUGGAUUGCAGACUCACUGCUCUAAUAGCAUGCAAGGGAUCUGCAACUAAAUAUUAGCUUUUAAUCUUUUAUAUCUGCCUUAAAUUUAACUGUUCCAAUUCUUGCUCACAUAAAAUAGUGGGAUGAACUCUAAAAGUGCUGUUCUUUUUAUUUGGUUAAACAUGUAGUGUCGAAAGUCCUAAUAAUAAAAUGUGACAUUCUGUAGUUUUGUCGCAUAUUCAUCCUUUAAUCAUAUUUGCUAAUGUCUUGACUCCACAGCAGAGAAAGCUAUUUUGUCUUUAUUGUUCCAAUACUUAUGGAGGACACUGUAUAUCUCUCCUGGUUUUAUUUUUGUACCCACUUCUUUUGGCACAAUGCCGUCAGCAAAUACACCUACAAAAAUGAAUUUUCCUUUAGAAUUACAGUAUAAUAGAAUGAUCAAAAUUACAAUGAAAGCUCCAGGCUUCAUGAUGCUUCAGACAUUAUUCUACAGUAAUAAGCUGAUUUGGCGC